AUUGAACGCUGGCGGCAUGCUUUACACAUGCAAGUCGAACGGUAACAGGCCUUCGGGUGCUGACGAGUGGCGAACGGGUGAGUAAUGCAUCGGAACGUACCUAGAGGUGGGGGAUAACGCAGCGAAAGCUGUGCUAAUACCGCAUGUGAUCUGAGGAUGAAAGCGGGGGACCGAGCAGCAAUGUUUGGCCUCGCGCCUUUGGAGCGGCCGAUGUCGGAUUAGCUAGUUGGUGGGGUAAAGGCCUACCAAGGCGACGAUCCGUAGCUGGUCUGAGAGGACGACCAGCCACACUGGGACUGAGACACGGCCCAGACUCCUACGGGAGGCAGCAGUGGGGAAUUUUGGACAAUGGGCGCAAGCCUGAUCCAGCAAUGCCGCGUGCGGGAAGAAGGCCUUCGGGUUGUAAACCGCUUUUGGCAGGAACGAAACGGUGUCCGCUAAUACCGGGCGCUAAUGACGGUACCUGCAGAAUAAGCACCGGCUAACUACGUG
RNAcentral lists this ribosomal RNA (492 nucleotides) under uncultured bacterium. Its description in RNAcentral is "partial 16S ribosomal RNA". It matches the Rfam family "Bacterial small subunit ribosomal RNA", at positions 30 to 507 of the family's 1533-position model. The record is from RNAcentral.